Molecule: ribosomal RNA, 633 nt
Filed under: Inocybe mixtilis
Lineage: Eukaryota; Fungi; Basidiomycota; Agaricomycetes; Agaricales; Inocybaceae
Description: eukaryotic LSU rRNA
Rfam family: 5.8S ribosomal RNA (bases 250-403)
Source: RNAcentral
AAGUAAAAGUCGUAACAAGGUUUCCGUAGGUGAACCUGCGGAAGGAUCAUUAUAGAAUAAAAUUGAACGGGCUGUUGCUCUCCUUAUGGUGGUGCACGCCUGUCAUAUUUAUCUCUCCCACUGUGCACAUUUUGUAGACCUGGUGUUUGGGAAUUGCUGUAGUCAGCUUUGCCCUUUGCCCUUGCCAGUCUAUGUUAUUUUAUCACAACCUCUGAAUGUUUUGAACUUUUUAUGAUGGAAAUUAUAUACAACUUUCAGCAACGGAUCUCUUGGCUCUCGCAUCGAUGAAGAACGCAGCGAAAUGCGAUAAGUAAUGUGAAUUGCAGAAUUCAGUGAAUCAUCGAAUCUUUGAACGCAUCUUGCGCUUCUUGGUAUUCCAAGGAGCAUGCCUGUUUGAGUGUCAUUAAAGUUCUCAAAACCCACAUGCUUGUCAUGUGGAAUUUUGGAUAUGGGGGUUUGCAGGCUUUUUAAAGUCGGCUCCUCUGAAAUGUAUCAGUGGUAUCUGUGUGGACUACAGGUGUGAUAAAUAAAAUCUAUGCCUUGCCCCUCACCGUGCUGCUUCUUCUGACGAGUUGGGAUUGACAAAUUUGACCUCAAAUCAGGUAGGACUACCCGCUGAACUUAAGCAUAUCA